UUUGGUUUCAAAGAAAAAUCUAGGAAAAGAUACUGAGGAGUCUGUGAAUAGAUGGAGUGGAGUGAGCUAGUAGAUGGUGAAGGCGCUGCUCACGAAAGAAACAGAGGUGGUGCCCAGGUCUUCAGAAUCUGAGUGACGACACUGGACACAAACUACUCACUGACUGGGGAGCAGCUGAGAAGCCUAGCAAAUCCUGGCUUAUCCCCCGAGAAUGUUCCAGCAGGUAAGAGAUUCUAAGCUUGGGGGACGGGGAGCCUACAGGAGAAACCACAGGUUCAAAAGUAGGCAUUAUAUGGUGAGCACAUUUUGAAGUGUCCACAGGAAAAGAAUUACUGGAUGAAGAUAAUGAAUAUGGGAAAUUUUAGAACAAGAUGGGUGAAUCAUCAAUUAGAAUUUUACUUCAUUUCCUAGGUAAAACACAGUAACUUUGGAAUAAAGUCAUUGUCAUGCAAAUACCAGGAGGUGAUGGUGUUACUAUUCAUAAUCACAAUGGCUUAGUAAUAAUGAUGAUGAUCAUUCUAAUUGUCCCACCAGAUACAAGACUGUCAUAAAAUCGGUAAUGUGGACAGAAAUACUGAAAGUUGUGUAAAAGAUUAAAUGAGGUUUGUGCUUUCUUUUACGUUUCACGUUCUGACAAGCUGUGUGUCUUGUUUCCAUAAUCCCACAUUACACAAAUAAGAAAGACAUAAUGGUUCAUAACUGGAAAGUUGAUUGAUAUCAUAAUUAAAAUUAUUAAAAUAACUGAUGUUUUAGUAGAUAAGAGUUCAAAAGGAGAUAAUCAAUGUCAAGAGUGCUACGCUUCAAAGUUCUGUUCAUAAAUGCAAAUUUACAUGGGGAAGUUCCAUGAGAAAUUAUUCCUUGAAGGAAUUGAGAUAAUUAAAACCUCGUAAGAAUAAAAAAGAAUGCAUAGGCCAUUGACCUGAGCUAUUGAAAACAAUGUGACUGGCCAGAGCAGUACUUUCCAACCAUUUUUGUCAAUGUUGCUUCAUAUCUGGAGGGGGUACAUUUUUCUGCUUUCUUACCAAUGUCUUCAAUUAAGCAUCAUUCAUCCUUAGUCAUCUCUCUUCCUACUAUUACUUGAUAACAAAUUUUGACCUCCACAAGAAAGCAGGUAUUGUUUUGAAAGUUGUAACAUG
This 1136-nucleotide long non-coding RNA is filed under the name Homo sapiens (human). RNAcentral's name for it is "HSALNT0073234". Lineage: Eukaryota; Metazoa; Chordata; Mammalia; Primates; Hominidae. The record is from RNAcentral.